CAAGGAUCAGUGUGUUCAGAUCAUGGAUGGAAAGCUUUUAAGGUAAAGAGAACAUCCAGAAAUGUUUUUACCCCCCAGGCAUCGGGUCCCAAUCAUCAAUUCUGAUGAUGUCACAUACAAUACAUGGCGAAUCCACAACAUCUUAAAAUUGUUUCUGUAAGGUGCAGUGAACGGGAAUGUUCUGUUGUUGAUCCUCACUUUCAUUUUUUAUUGUCACACUUAAGUUUUCAUGUUCAUUGUGUUCACUUUAGAUGUGUAAACUGAUAA
Poecilia latipinna (sailfin molly) is the source of this 267-nucleotide long non-coding RNA. RefSeq lists it as uncharacterized. Lineage: Eukaryota; Metazoa; Chordata; Actinopteri; Cyprinodontiformes; Poeciliidae. The transcript has 3 exons. The record is from RefSeq and is a predicted model, not a curated record.